AUUUUCGAUUGUGUGUGGUGUGAUUCGUGGGUCGCGUCCGCGUCGGAAAUAAAAUUGUUGCCAAAAAGAAGCUUUUUUUCUAUCUUUCGAUUGACUGAGACAGGUUUGCAAAAGCCUGGGGUGCGAGAAGGGUUGCAUACUGAUAGGGAACGCUAGGUAGUACUGAAUGUCUGCUGUCAAAUUAUUUGGCAAUCGAUAUUCGCAAACGCAUUCGUAGUAAUUUCACUAGAUCGAAAUUUAAAAGUCGUCCGUUUUGCGUUGUAAGUAAUGACCAAAGCCUUUGUUUCACCUUCUCCAGAGAUACAUGAAUAACGCCAUAAUUUCUUUCUCACAGUCUUCAUCUGGUGGAGCACAGGUGGUGAUUUCUUUGCCAAUUUACAUAUGUACUGAUAGCAUUUGUAAGGUAAGUUACUGUUUGGGUUUGGGUGAAAAGGUAAACACAAAUUUGAUACAAAUUAAUUUAAUUAUUACAGUUUUGUUUAUUGUCUAAUUUGAGUUUUUGAAAAUCUAGAUUUCAACAUGUUGGUCAUUCAUGUAUGUAAUAAUUCAGCGCAAUAGGUGAAGAUUGAGUAAUGUUGAAGCCGGUUCUGUUUUAAAUUAAAAUUUUGUAAUAAUAAAGUAAUUUAAUUGUAUUUUUAAUUUUAUUUAAAUUGUAAAAUUGUAUUAUUUAACAAGGAUGACCAAUUGUAAACUAACGCAAUGGAAGACACCUGGUUGCCUGAACUGAAUAUAACAAACUUUGCGCAAAAAUUAUUUCGGGGACAUAAACUUUACAAAAUAACAAAAUUUACAUUCCUAUAAAUGUUUCGGUACGAAGUAAUUCAUAUUUUAAAAAUAAACUCCACAAUCUUGUCCA
Long non-coding RNA from Folsomia candida, 856 nucleotides. RefSeq lists it as uncharacterized. The record is from RefSeq and is a predicted model, not a curated record. The transcript has 2 exons. NCBI's taxonomy places the organism in Eukaryota, Metazoa, Arthropoda, Collembola, Entomobryomorpha, Isotomidae.